Molecule: long non-coding RNA, 2191 nt
Organism: Chionomys nivalis (European snow vole)
Lineage: Eukaryota; Metazoa; Chordata; Mammalia; Rodentia; Cricetidae
Exons: 3
Source: RefSeq, a predicted model, not a curated record
UUUCCUGGGUGGUAACUCUACCUUCUCUGUUACUUUCUUUUUUUUUUCAUUUCUUUUAACUUUUAGAAAAUUAUAGGUUGGUUGGUUAAAUUCAUCACAGGUUUCUUUUUCCUGGGCCAGAUUGUUUUAUUUCUCAUUUGUGCAGAGAUUUGGAUAUGUUCCUAAGGAGAAGGGCUCAGCUUUCUCUUUAUCUUCAGGCUUUUAAAAUUCAUUCUGAAUGUUGUUAGAUAAUGGAGUAACCAUUCCUUUUCAGCUUUGGUUUGUUUCCAAACUGGCUGCCAGAGCCAGGAGGAAGCGAAGGCAGUGUCACUAACUGUUGGUUACUACCUCCUUAAUGCUGAGACUAUACCCCUUGUUGGUUUGAUAGAGAACAGGAGAGAGCACAGCCCUCGUUCCACUAACAGCUCUAUUCCAGUGCUUCUCUCCUCCCAGAGGUGCAAGGAGUGAUCCUAGAGCCACAGAUACAGCCAAGACCACGGAGAGCUUUUGACGUCAGGGGUCCACUUUCUCCACUGAACCCUUGGAGACAGAAUAUCCAGCUUCUGGAGAGAGUGGGAAAGGAUAAGAAACAAGUAUCUUGAUAAUGGGAGACCGGUUUAUUUGUUCUCUAAUUGCCCAGAUUUCUUUCAACUGGUAAAACAUCAUACCUCUUCAGCAAAAGGAAUUCUUCUAGCAGAGCCCUCCUGGAUGAUAUGUGUCACACAUGCCAGGACCUGCAGUGUGGAAGGCAGUGGUGAAUGGACCCAUGCAUAUGUCUAGAAGACACAAGGAUGAGCAGCACCUGAUCUUGUUGCUUAUAAACUUCUUAAGAGUCACUCUGCUUUAUUUUUGGUCUGAAAAUGGAAAGGCUCAAAGUGAAGUAAUCUUUUAUAUUAGAGUUCUAUAUGGCCGUAAAAAUAUUUCUUAUUCUAAAGACUGAAAUAGAGGAAGAUUGAGAGUCUUGUCUUUCAGAGCAGCUCUCUGUAUCUGUUUCACUUCAAAGACUUGUGGGACUGAAAACCAAUUUAAUUAAGUAGGCAACCCCCACUUUAAAAAGUAGCAGAAAAAAUACAAAAAGCAUGAUAGGCCCUCUCUACCUCCUCCUCUUUGUUACCCAGUGCUAAGGGGACUAGCAAAUAAAGGAUGGACCCAGCUCUUCAAGAGUCUGUUAAUGUUAAGAUGUACUCUUAGCUCAUCUCUUGUUGGUCCUGAGCCUUAUCUUAUUGUAAUCUGUCAGACUAUAACAAAGUCUAGAGCUGUCUCAGACCAAUGGAAUCCUGUCUGUGUUCCUACGUAGUAAGUGCCUGUUAGGUCUCCUCUGCACUGACGGCAUAUACACGUGGAUGAUGCAGAGCGUUGGUGUGGGACACAGCUAAACCACAGAGUUCUGAGCCUGCAGGUGGGAAUGAAAUCACCAGUUGACAGGAGCUAUCAAAAUGCUGGUUUCUUUGGUUAUCUAGUAACUCUAGAAACCAGUCAGAGCUAUUAAGGAAAACUCUUAACAGUCACCUGAUGCUGCCAGUUCCUUUUAAUUUGGAGUAAGUUUUAUAAGAAGAGAAAUUGUAGAGUUAAUAAUAUAAAAACAACUGAGAUGUUAGGCUCUCAAAGUAUAAUAGCUACAUUUGCUAAAAAUAUAAUCUGUUCUUAGUCUUUCUUGACUAUAAGAACUAUUUUUUCUUAGAAAUUAUAAAUCAUUUUUCAAAAGUAUAAUCCUUAAAAGUACAUGUUAAAGAUAAUUUUGAAUGGAAAAUUUCCCCCACAGAACUCUGAAUUCCCUUGAAUGAUUACAGUAUUGUAUUCCUGACUUAAUAAAAUACUUCAUAAGUACAUAUAAACAAAAACCAAAUUACCUGACAUUUUAGUAAGAACUCAGGGAAUUGAAAGUGACAUUUGCCUAGAAAUUUAGUUGCAUUCUUUAAACUACUGUAGAAAAAAUUUUAUGGCCUGAGGUCAUUAGCCUUUUGUCUCAGCACUGAAGACAGAAAGUGGUUUACGCUCGGUAUCUCAAGCUUGAGUUAAGUUCACUCUGUUCUUAAGUAUGCGAAAGAGAUGUCAGUGCGGUUCCAUUACCUCAUGCACGGCAAGCUAUUGGAAAGUGAAAUUUUUUUGUAUGUUACUGUGUACUGAUUUGUUGGAAAUUUUAAUUUUGAUGCAUUUUCCUUUCAGAUUUUAAAGAACAAUUUCGUGUUACAAUAUGCAAUCUUAUAUCAUU